UUUCUCGCUCGCAAGCGCAGACCCAAUCAUCAUUGGGCGAAAUUCUCAUGGAGAAUUCGCACACACUCCAACCAGGAGCAACUAAGACCCCAAACCACAUUGAAUCCUCGGGUUGGGUCACCACACACUCGGUGUAUCCUCGAUCUCAUGAUCCAACACGUGGCAUUCCACGCUCCCGGCUCUAAGCUCGGACUACCGUCCUGACCAAAACUCUGCCCCACCCAUAGGUACUGGGCCCCUAUCACUCACAGCUGACUGCGCCUGCCCAAAGGGCCCAGGCUCCACAGUCCACAAAUGGUCCAGGCACGGGUCGUCCCCAAGCACUACCCGCCGUCGUCGUCCUACACGACAUACUCUAUCGAGUUACACAUAUGUUACUAU
This 381-nucleotide long non-coding RNA is filed under the name Ananas comosus (pineapple). RNAcentral's name for it is "long non-coding RNA (ACOM_LNC017883)". The record is from RNAcentral. Lineage: Eukaryota; Viridiplantae; Streptophyta; Magnoliopsida; Poales; Bromeliaceae.